This 414-nucleotide ribosomal RNA is filed under the name uncultured microorganism. RNAcentral describes it as "bacterial SSU rRNA". It matches the Rfam family "Archaeal small subunit ribosomal RNA", at positions 459 to 872 of the family's 1478-position model. The record is from RNAcentral.
CAGCCGCCGCGGUAAUACCGGCGGCCCGAGUGGCGGUCACUAUUAUUGGGCUUAAAGCGUCCGUAGCCGGGGUGGGAAGUCCUCCGGGAAAUCUGGCCGCUUAACGGUCAGAAUGCCGGAGGAUACUCCCAGCCUAGGGAGCGGGAGAGGCCGAGGGGAUUCCCGGAGUAGGGGGGAAAUCCUAUAAUCCCGGGAGGACCACCUGUGGCGAAGGCGCUCGGCUGGAACGCGUCCGACGGUGAGGGACGAAGGCCAGGGGAGCAAACCGGAUUAGAUACCCGGGUAGUCCUGGCUGUAAACGAUGCGGACUUUGUGUCGGACAAGCUAUGAGCUUGUCCGGUGCCGGAGGGAAACCGUUAAGUCCGACGCCUGGGGAGUACGGCCGCAAGGCUGAAACUUAAAGGAAUUGGCGGG